GAUGAACGCUAGCGGGAGGCCUAACACAUGCAAGCCGAGCGGUAUUUGUUCUUCGGAACAGAGAGAGCGGCGCACGGGUGCGGAACACGUGUGCAACCUGCCUUUAUCUGGGGGAUAGCCUUUCGAAAGGAAGAUUAAUACCCCAUAAUAUAUUGAGUGGCAUCACUUGAUAUUGAAAACUCCGGUGGAUAGAGAUGGGCACGCGCAAGAUUAGAUAGUUGGUGAGGUAACGGCUCACCAAGUCAAUGAUCUUUAGGGGGCCUGAGAGGGGGACCCCCCACCCUGGUACUGGACCCCGGCCCAGACUCGUCCGGGAGGCAGCAGUGAGGAAUAUUGGCCAAUGGGUUAGCGCCUGACCCCGCCACCCCGCGUGAAGGACGACGGCCCUAUGGGUUUUAAACUUCUUUUGUAUGGGGAUAAACCUCCUCUCGUGGGAGUAGCUGAAGGUACUAUACGAAUAAGCCCCGGCUAACCCCGU
Molecule: ribosomal RNA, 478 nt
Filed under: uncultured bacterium
Lineage: Bacteria
Description: partial 16S ribosomal RNA
Rfam family: Bacterial small subunit ribosomal RNA
Source: RNAcentral